Gracilinanus agilis (Agile Gracile Mouse Opossum) is the source of this 66-nucleotide small nucleolar RNA. RefSeq annotates it as small nucleolar RNA SNORD58. NCBI's taxonomy places the organism in Eukaryota, Metazoa, Chordata, Mammalia, Didelphimorphia, Didelphidae. The record is from RefSeq and is a predicted model, not a curated record. The transcript has a single exon.
UUGCAAUGAUGACAAUUCUUAGGACACCUUUGGAUUAACCAUGAAAACAACGACAUUCUGAGCAGC